GUGAUGAUAACAAAAAAGAGUUUGAACAAAGGAAGUGAGAGGAGUUCUGCAGAGCAAGGAAACUUGUUUGAAUUUGGAAUUCUUAAUGGUAAAUUAAAAAAAAAAAAAUCAGUCUUGAUUCAACAAAAUAUACUAUGAUAUUGUGAAGUUCCUAAGAAACUAAAAUAUCAUCCAAUAAUUGUGCAUAAGAAUUGAACAAAAAUAUUGCACAAUGGAUGGUUACUCAGAAAUUACUAGUGAAACAUUUUUUUUUUUUGAAUGAUAAGGCAUAACAAUCUAAUGUCUGGUAUAUAAAAUAAAAGAAAUAUUCAGGUAAGAUGAGAUAAAAAGAAUCAAAUGUUGCUGUUACCUUAGACCUUUUAGAGGAUUCUGAACUCUGUGGAGAGAUCACAUCAGCUGAAGAAGCUAACAAACCAGAACGUGAUUCUGAGGCCACAUCAACCGAUGCAUUGGAAGCAGUUGAAAUACUUGAACAAACGGCACUUGCAGAAGAGCUUCCUGCAGAAGUGGACCUUUCAAAGCAUUGAUUGUCUGGUUCAACAAGUGCAGAUGUUGGAUCACAAGAUACACCAUUAGGUAACAGCUUUGUCAUCUUUUGCCCUUCCCCAUCAGCCUUGGUUUCUGAAAGGCAUAAAUUGGAGAUUGAACUUGAGCUUUGAACUUCAUCAUCACUCUUCUCCAUUUGAAGUUCAUACUUGUGUUUGUGAUGAUCCUGCUCGCCUUGUGACCAGUUAUCUCCAAUCUGUCUUCCAAUAACUGCAGAAUCAAAAGCUUCUUCACUUUUUGAAAUAUUAAUUGAAAUAUUUAUCCUUUCUCUCUUCCCAGGUUCAACUUCUGUGGCCGUUGCUGCAUGAUUAGGUAAAAUUUUUUUCCCUUCAUGCUCCUUUCCAGUUUUUGUUGGCACGAAAUCAUUAGCACAAUUGUUCCUGUUUUCAUUUAUUUUCCUUUUAUCUAUGGCUGACUUGUUAGAUUCCUCUGACUCACUCACUAUAAUCUCAGAAGAAGGAACACUGACUACGGCAACUUCUACAUCAUCACUAGCAACAUUUCCCAUGAAACCAUCAGCUGGGAAUAGAACUCCCUUGGCUAUAACUUGGACAAGAUCACCUGAAAGAAUUACAAGCGUUUCAAUCACGUUCCAAUUGGCUACAUUUGCAUCACACUUCCCCUUCUUAGUCAAUUUUGCUUCCUUCAACACAAUACCAUAGUCCUUGUCAACGGAAGCAGUGUGGAAAGUUCCAGAAUAGACAGAGCCAUCCCUGACAUGGACAUCAACGGGCAUUCCAAUUAUACAAAUGGUAGCAAACAACAACGCUUCGCUUAAACAAGUAUCAGUGUCAGCUUCUGCCCUGUUUCUGUUACCCAUCACUGUGUCUCUAUCUAUUUUGGGCUGUGUGAAAAGCUUUGUAUAUAGCUGCAGACGCUAGAAAAUUGGCUAAUGGCUCCGGAAGAAACAGGGGUUGAAAGAGGAGAUCUGAGGAGUGAGCAAAUGUCUGUCUCGUGUGUCCGUUUCGCGCUGUAUAACAAAUAUACGAGGGAAUUGGAAAUACCUUGACGUCCGUCUUAGUUCUUCUGUUUAAGCAGCUUCUCCGGCUUUUAAU
This 1601-nucleotide unclassified non-coding RNA is filed under the name Hevea brasiliensis (rubber tree). Lineage: Eukaryota; Viridiplantae; Streptophyta; Magnoliopsida; Malpighiales; Euphorbiaceae. The record is from RNAcentral.